GUGGGGAAUAUUGGGCAAUGGACGAAAGUCUGACCCAGCGACGCCGCGUGAGGGAAGAAGGUCUUCGGAUUGUAAACCUUAGUCAACAGGGACGAAGCAAGUGACGGUACCUGUGGAGGAAGCCACGGCUAACUACGUGCCAGCAGCCGCGGUAAUACGUAGGUGGCGAGCGUUAUCCGGAAUUACUGGGUGUAAAGGGUGUGUAGGCGGGAAGGCAAGUCGGAUGUGAAAAUUAUGGGCUCAACCCAUAAAGUGCGACCGAAACUGUUUUUCUUGAGGAUCGGAGAGGUAAUGAGAAUUCCCGGUGUAGCGGUGAAAUGCGCAGAGAUCGGGAGGAAUACCGGUGGCGAAGGCGAAUUACUGGACGAUAACUGACGCUGAGACACGAAAGCGUGGGGAGCAAACAGG
RNAcentral lists this ribosomal RNA (408 nucleotides) under uncultured rumen bacterium. RNAcentral describes it as "bacterial SSU rRNA". It matches the Rfam family "Bacterial small subunit ribosomal RNA", at positions 354 to 776 of the family's 1533-position model. The record is from RNAcentral.